Molecule: long non-coding RNA, 791 nt
Organism: Vidua chalybeata
Lineage: Eukaryota; Metazoa; Chordata; Aves; Passeriformes; Viduidae
Exons: 2
Source: RefSeq, a predicted model, not a curated record
GAAAAGUGUUUCCCCUGGUUCUGUGUUGGGUGGGGGGCCAAGGGGCGCGAGAGGCUGUUUCUCCUCGGGGUGGAAGCUGUUGCUUUGUAAAGCCCUUGGAGCAGCAGUGGGAAACUGAGCAAGCCAUGAAGCUGGUCUUAACAAGCUCCUGUUUUAAUACAUGGUGGAGUUCUUCCCUAUCUGACCUAAGAAAAGAAAGUGCAACCUAAGCAGGGGGGUCUUUUGGCUGUGAGGUCAUAGGUCAGCUGCAGGAUUUAGGCAACAAAAGCACAGGGAUGAAAAUUUACUCUUUGGCAAAGAGCAGUUAGUUGUAGAGAGAGAAGUGAAGGGCGUUUUGUGCUGAUGGGAAAGAAGUUAGCAUGUGCAUAAUGGCAUCCUUCAAAACACACAGAUGCUGUGACUGGUGAGAAUAUAGAAGCAGCAUUAUGAUACUGUGGCAGCUGCUUGCCUAAUGGAGUGUCCACUAGAGGCUGGGAAGCAGCUGAAUCACAGCCCUGCUGAAGAGGAUGGGACUUACAGUGGCUGCCAAGUUGAAUGUGGGCCAGGAGAGUGUUCUCUCUGCAAAUAAGUCAGCCUGCAGGCUGGGCUCCAUCAUGAAAUAUGUGGCCAGCGAAUGCAAGGAUGCUUUGGGUACACAGCUCUGCUGCUCACAACCUGCUCAUGAAGCUGUAUGUGGACUCAACUCUGGUAGCUAAACGUUUCUGAGUCUUGUUUCUCAGCAAACCCCAAAUGUGAGCAAACUCCAAGUGUUAUUUCUUUCAGAAAAAGAUAUUACAUGUAAAUACCUCCUU